GAUCAUGGCUCAGGAUGAACGCUAGCUACAGGCUUAACACAUGCAAGUCGAGGGGCAGCAUUUUAGUUUGCUUGCAAACUAAAGAUGGCGACCGGCGCACGGGUGAGGUAACACGGUAUCCAACCUGCCGAUAACUCAGGGAUAGCCUUUCGAAAGAAAGAUAAAAUACCUGAUGGCAUAGGAUUAUCGCAUGAUAAUCCUAUUAAAGAAUUUCGGUUAUCGAUGGGGAUGCGUUCCA
RNAcentral lists this ribosomal RNA (238 nucleotides) under uncultured bacterium. RNAcentral describes it as "partial 16S ribosomal RNA". It matches the Rfam family "Bacterial small subunit ribosomal RNA", at positions 15 to 240 of the family's 1533-position model. The record is from RNAcentral.